Molecule: ribosomal RNA, 415 nt
Filed under: uncultured prokaryote
Description: bacterial SSU rRNA
Rfam family: Bacterial small subunit ribosomal RNA
Source: RNAcentral
GUGUCAGCCGCCGCGGUAAGACGAACCGUCCAAACGUUAUUCGGAAUCACUGGGCUUAAAGGGUGCGUAGGCGGCACUGCAAGUUGGGUGUGAAAGCCCUCGGCUCAACCGAGGAAUUGCGCCCAAAACUGCCGCGCUCGAGGGAGACAGAGGUGAGCGGAACUUAGGGUGGAGCGGUGAAAUGCGUUGAUAUCAUCAGGAACACCAGUGGCGAAAGCGGCUUACUGGGUCUCUUCUGACGCUGAGGUACGAAAGCUAGGGGAGCGAACGGGAUUAGAUACCCCGGUAGUCCUAGCUGUAAACGCUGAGCACUUGAUCGAGGAUCCCCCCAUAGGUUCUCGGUCGUAGCGAAAGUGGUAAGUGCUCCGCCUGGGGAGUAUGGUCGCAAGGCUGAAACUCAAAGCAAUUGACGGGG